This 429-nucleotide ribosomal RNA is filed under the name uncultured archaeon. Its description in RNAcentral is "bacterial SSU rRNA". It matches the Rfam family "Archaeal small subunit ribosomal RNA", at positions 474 to 903 of the family's 1478-position model. The record is from RNAcentral.
UACCAGCUCUCCGAGUGGUAGGGAUGAUUAUUGGGCUUAAAGCGUCCGUAGCCGGCUUAGCAAGUCUCCUGUUAAAUUCAGCGACCUAAUCGUUGAGCCGCGGGAGAUACUACUAGGCUAGGAGGCGGGAGAGGUCGACGGUACUUCUGGGGUAGGGGUGAAAUCCUAUAAUCCCGGGAGGACCACCAGUGGCGAAGGCUGUCGACUAGAACGCGCUCGACGGUGAGGGACGAAAGCUGGGGGAGCGAACCGGAUUAGAUACCCGGGUAGUCCCAGCUGUAAACGAUGCGGGCUAGGUGUUGGGGUGGCUACGUGCCACUUCAGUGCCGCAGGGAAGCCAUUAAGCCCGCCGCCUGGGGAGUACGGCCGCAAGGCUGAAACUUAAAGGAAUUGGCGGGGGAGCACCACAAGGCGUGAAGCUUGCGGUUC